This 505-nucleotide ribosomal RNA is filed under the name uncultured bacterium. RNAcentral's name for it is "partial 16S ribosomal RNA". It matches the Rfam family "Bacterial small subunit ribosomal RNA", at positions 28 to 507 of the family's 1533-position model. The record is from RNAcentral.
GACGAACGCUGGCGGCGUGCCUAAUACAUGCCAGUAGAACGCACAGUUUAUACCGUAGCUUGCUACACCAUAGACUGUGAGUUGCGAACGGGUGAGUAACGCGUAGGUAACCUGCCUGGUAGCGGGGGAUAACUAUUGGAAACGAUAGCUAAUACCGCAUAAUAUUAAUUAUUGCAUGAUAAUUAAUUGAAAGGUGCAAUUGCACCACUACCAGAUGGACCUGCGUUGUAUUAGCUAGUAGGUGAGGUAACGGCUCACCUAGGCGACGAUACAUAGCCGACCUGAGAGGGUGAUCGGCCACACUGGGACUGAGACACGGCCCAGACUCCUACGGGAGGCAGCAGUAGGGAAUCUUCGGCAAUGGACAAAAGUCUGACCGAGCAACGCCGCGUGAGUGAAGAAGGUUUUCGGAUCGUAAAGCUCUGUUGUAAGAGAAGAACGGGUGUGAGAGUGGAAAGUUCACACUGUGACGGUAUCUUACCAGAAAGGGACGGCUAACUACGUG